This 2911-nucleotide ribosomal RNA is filed under the name Escherichia coli. Its description in RNAcentral is "23S ribosomal RNA". It matches the Rfam family "Bacterial large subunit ribosomal RNA". The record is from RNAcentral. Lineage: Bacteria; Pseudomonadati; Pseudomonadota; Gammaproteobacteria; Enterobacterales; Enterobacteriaceae.
UUAAGCGACUAAGCGUACACGGUGGAUGCCCUGGCAGUCAGAGGCGAUGAAGGACGUGCUAAUCUGCGAUAAGCGUCGGUAAGGUGAUAUGAACCGUUAUAACCGGCGAUUUCCGAAUGGGGAAACCCAGUGUGUUUCGACACACUAUCAUUAACUGAAUCCAUAGGUUAAUGAGGCGAACCGGGGAACUGAAACAUCUAAGUACCCCGAGGAAAAGAAAUCAACCGAGAUUCCCCCCAGUAGCGGCGAGCGAACGGGGGAGCAGCCCAGAGCCUGAAUCAGUGUGUGUGUUAGUGGAAGCGUCUGGAAAGGCGCGCGAUACAGGGUGACAGCCCCGUACACAAAAAUGCACAUGCUGUGAGCUCGAUGAGUAGGGCGGGACACGUGGUAUCCUGUCUGAAUAUGGGGGGACCAUCCUCCAAGGCUAAAUACUCCUGACUGACCGAUAGUGAACCAGUACCGUGAGGGAAAGGCGAAAAGAACCCCGGCGAGGGGAGUGAAAAAGAACCUGAAACCGUGUACGUACAAGCAGUGGGAGCACGCUUAGGCGUGUGACUGCGUACCUUUUGUAUAAUGGGUCAGCGACUUAUAUUCUGUAGCAAGGUUAACCGAAUAGGGGAGCCGAAGGGAAACCGAGUCUUAACUGGGCGUUAAGUUGCAGGGUAUAGACCCGAAACCCGGUGAUCUAGCCAUGGGCAGGUUGAAGGUUGGGUAACACUAACUGGAGGACCGAACCGACUAAUGUUGAAAAAAUUAGCGGAUGACUUGUGGCUGGGGGGUGAAAGGCCAAUCAAACCGGGAGAUAGCUGGUUCUCCCCGAAAGCUAUUUAGGUAGCGCCUCGUGAAUUCAUCUCCGGGGGUAGAGCACUGUUUCGGCAAGGGGGUCAUCCCGACUUACCAACCCGAUGCAAACUGCGAAUACCGGAGAAUGUUAUCACGGGAGACACACGGCGGGUGCUAACGUCCGUCGUGAAGAGGGAAACAACCCAGACCGCCAGCUAAGGUCCCAAAGUCAUGGUUAAGUGGGAAACGAUGUGGGAAGGCCCAGACAGCCAGGAUGUUGGCUUAGAAGCAGCCAUCAUUUAAAGAAAGCGUAAUAGCUCACUGGUCGAGUCGGCCUGCGCGGAAGAUGUAACGGGGCUAAACCAUGCACCGAAGCUGCGGCAGCGACACUAUGUGUUGUUGGGUAGGGGAGCGUUCUGUAAGCCUGUGAAGGUGUGCUGUGAGGCAUGCUGGAGGUAUCAGAAGUGCGAAUGCUGACAUAAGUAACGAUAAAGCGGGUGAAAAGCCCGCUCGCCGGAAGACCAAGGGUUCCUGUCCAACGUUAAUCGGGGCAGGGUGAGUCGACCCCUAAGGCGAGGCCGAAAGGCGUAGUCGAUGGGAAACAGGUUAAUAUUCCUGUACUUGGUGUUACUGCGAAGGGGGGACGGAGAAGGCUAUGUUGGCCGGGCGACGGUUGUCCCGGUUUAAGCGUGUAGGCUGGUUUUCCAGGCAAAUCCGGAAAAUCAAGGCUGAGGCGUGAUGACGAGGCACUACGGUGCUGAAGCAACAAAUGCCCUGCUUCCGGGGAAAAGCCUCUAAGCAUCAGGUAACAUCAAAUCGUACCCCCAAACCGACACAGGUGGUCAGGUAGAGAAUACCAAGGCGCUUGAGAGAACUCGGGUGAAGGAACUAGGCAAAAUGGUGCCGUAACUUCGGGAGAAGGCACGCUGAUAUGUAGGUGAGGUCCCUCGCGGAUGGAGCUGAAAUCAGUCGAAGAUACCAGCUGGCUGCAACUGUUUAUUAAAAAACACAGCACUGUGCAAACACGAAAGUGGACGUAUACGGUGUGACGCCUGCCCGGUGCCGGAAGGUUAAUUGAUGGGGUUAGCCGCAAGGCGAAGCUCUUGAUCGAAGCCCCGGUAAACGGCGGCCGUAACUAUAACGGUCCUAAGGUAGCGAAAUUCCUUGUCGGGUAAGUUCCGACCUGCACGAAUGGCGUAAUGAUGGCCAGGCUGUCUCCACCCGAGACUCAGUGAAAUUGAACUCGCUGUGAAGAUGCAGUGUACCCGCGGCAAGACGGAAAGACCCCGUGAACCUUUACUAUAGCUUGACACUGAACAUUGAGCCUUGAUGUGUAGGAUAGGUGGGAGGCUUAGAAGUGUGGACGCCAGUCUGCAUGGAGCCGACCUUGAAAUACCACCCUUUAAUGUUUGAUGUUCUAACGUUGACCCGUAAUCCGGGUUGCGGACAGUGUCUGGUGGGUAGUUUGACUGGGGCGGUCUCCUCCUAAAGAGUAACGGAGGAGCACGAAGGUUGGCUAAUCCUGGUCGGACAUCAGGAGGUUAGUGCAAUGGCAUAAGCCAGCUUGACUGCGAGCGUGACGGCGCGAGCAGGUGCGAAAGCAGGUCAUAGUGAUCCGGUGGUUCUGAAUGGAAGGGCCAUCGCUCAACGGAUAAAAGGUACUCCGGGGAUAACAGGCUGAUACCGCCCAAGAGUUCAUAUCGACGGCGGUGUUUGGCACCUCGAUGUCGGCUCAUCACAUCCUCGGGGCUGAAGUAGGUCCCAAGGGUAUGGCUGUUCGCCAUUUAAAGUGGUACGCGAGCUGGGUUUAGAACGUCGUGAGACAGUUCGGUCCCCUAUCUGCCGUGGGCGCUGGAGAACUGAGGGGGGGCUGCUCCUAGUACGAGAGGACCGGAGUGGACGCAUCACUGGUGUUCGGGUUGUCAUGCCAAUGGCACUGCCCGGUAGCUAAAUGCGGAAGAGAUAAGUGCUGAAAGCAUCUAAGCACGAAACUUGCCCCGAGAUGAGUUCUCCCUGACCCUUUAAGGGUCCUGAAGGAACGUUGAAGACGACGACGUUGAUAGGCCGGGUGUGUAAGCGCAGCGAUGCGUUGAGCUAACCGGUACUAAUGAACCGUGAGGCUUAACCU